CCCGUCCUUCAGCACUGCACAAACGCUCUGCGGUCACACCCCGUCUCUCCUCGAAGCUUUUCUGCUGAUCCGUACGUUCGGUGCUAAAUUUAAUGUGCUAAACCCCUGCCGUGCGUGCAGGAAUUGUGUCAGCAGAAGAGGCCCCUCCUCCCCGGCGGUGCUGCCCUCAGCGUGUCUCCGUGCUCUCGGACAUUAACAAAUACCAGAUGGUAAACAGCUCAGCGCUGCCUUUAUCUGUAGGCCCACAGAGGUGAUACAGUGCAGGGAAUGCUUCAGCGGCUCUGAAACGAGGCCAGCAUCGGGCUGGAGGGCAGCAGCUGCUUUCUGCUGCGUGUUGUCACUGUGUGUGCUGCAGUCCUCUGCUUCUGACCAGAAAGGAGGGCAGCAGAGGUUUGGCUGAGUCAGAGGAGGUUCAUGGAGCGCUGUCUGCUGCCCAUCCUCAUGUGCGUGGCAGUGUCCUCCAGGUGUCGGCCCGGCUGCUGGGGGAGGACCCGGCCAUUGAGUCUCCCACACUGCAGUUUACCACAGCAGCAGCAACUCAAGAGCACCACAGAGCGGCAAGAGCUGCCACCUCCUGGUCGAGUGUGCAGCAGAGCUCAUGGGCCGGCAGGGUCCCGUGUGUCCAAACUUCAGUCUCCUCACACCUGUGUUCCCAGAGCCCUGCAGAGCCUACCCUCACUCAGCUGCUCCCAGAGGCUCUGUCCUGGAUGUGGCAUCCCCUCCAGCUGUUGGUAUCUGCUUUUGGACAGUGUUAGGAAAAAAGUGCAG
RNAcentral lists this long non-coding RNA (768 nucleotides) under Gallus gallus (chicken). Its description in RNAcentral is "lncRNA (ENSGALG00010028670.1)". The record is from RNAcentral. Lineage: Eukaryota; Metazoa; Chordata; Aves; Galliformes; Phasianidae.